RNAcentral lists this ribosomal RNA (896 nucleotides) under Semisulcospira nakasekoae. RNAcentral describes it as "partial 16S ribosomal RNA". The stretch from base 318 to 896 matches the Rfam family "Archaeal large subunit ribosomal RNA", at positions 1423 to 2639 of the family's 2987-position model. The record is from RNAcentral. Lineage: Eukaryota; Metazoa; Mollusca; Gastropoda; Semisulcospiridae.
GCACUAACGAUAGCUAGUUUCCCCGGAAAGAUAUAAAAGUGUCGAGGAAAAGUUUAAUUUAUAAUAUUAACUAUUAUACAUAUAUAUGUUCUUUUUUAUUAAUUUUUUUGAGGAUAAGCUCAGAAAAAAGUUAAGAUAUUUUUAGCUAAAAUUACUGUGUGGGCUUAAAAUUGGCCACCAUAAAAGUUUGUUAUAAAAUAGUAAUCUUAGCUUAGAAAAUAAAUAUAUUUUAAUCUAAACCCUUACGGGGAUAAGAGCUCUAAUUAGAAUUAAGUUCUAUGCCUAUGCUAGAAUGAGUAUUAAAACCUAACUAUAAAAGAAAUAUUAAUUUACUUUUCUUCGAAAAAAAUUCUAAAAAAAAUUAAUUAAUUAGAAGGAAUUCGGCAAGUUUAAUUGCUUCGCCUGUUUAUCAAAAACAUGGCUCUUUGCUCACAUAAGUAUAAAGAGUCGAGCCUGCCCAGUGAAUUUUUUAACGGCCGCGGUACUCUGACCGUGCAAAGGUAGCAUAAUCAUUUGCCUUAUAAUUGAAGGCUAGUAUGAAUGGUUUGACGAGAGCAAUACUGUCUCCUUUUUAUUUUCAAGAACUUAACUUUUAGGUGAAGAGGCCUAAAUUCUAUUGAAGGACAAGAAGACCCUGUCGAGCUUAAAAGACAUUAUAGGAGUCUAGUAUAAUUUUUAGAUAAAUUUUCUAUCAAGCUUUUUAGUUGGGGCGACUAAGGAACAAAAAAAGCUUCUUCCCAAUGAUAAACAAUCAUGUUUAGAUCCGGUAAUAGCGAUCAAAGAAAUUAGUUACCGCAGGGAUAACAGCAUAAUCUCUCUUAAGAGACCUAAUCGAAAGAGGGGGUUGUGACCUCGAUGUUGGACUAGAAUAUCCUAAAGAUGCAGAAUCUUUAAGG